UUUAUCAGAGAGUUUGAUCCUGGCUCAGGAUGAACGCUGGCGGCGUGCUUAACACAUGCAAGUCGAACGGGAAUUAUCUUAUUGAAACUUCGGUCGAUUUAAUUUAAUUCUAGUGGCGGACGGGUGAGUAACGCGUGGGUAACCUGCCUUAUACAGGGGGAUAACAGUCAGAAAUGGCUGCUAAUACCGCAUAAGCGCACAGAGCUGCAUGGCUCAGUGCGAAAAA
Molecule: ribosomal RNA, 226 nt
Filed under: Blautia difficilis
Lineage: Bacteria; Bacillati; Bacillota; Clostridia; Lachnospirales; Lachnospiraceae
Description: partial 16S ribosomal RNA
Rfam family: Bacterial small subunit ribosomal RNA
Source: RNAcentral